This 468-nucleotide ribosomal RNA is filed under the name uncultured bacterium. RNAcentral's name for it is "partial 16S ribosomal RNA". It matches the Rfam family "Bacterial small subunit ribosomal RNA", at positions 28 to 507 of the family's 1533-position model. The record is from RNAcentral.
GACGAACGCUGGCGGCGUGCUUAACACAUGCAAGUCGAACGGAAAGGCCCUGCUUUUGUGGGGUGCUCGAGUGGCGAACGGGUGAGUAACACGUGAGUAACCUGCCCUUGACUUUGGGAUAACUUCAGGAAACUGGGGCUAAUACCGGAUAGGAGCUCCUGCUGCAUGGUGGGGGUUGGAAAGUUUCGGCGGUUGGGGAUGGACUCGCGGCUUAUCAGCUUGUUGGUGGGGUAGUGGCUUACCAAGGGUUUGACGGGUAGCCGGCCUGAGAGGGUGACCGGCCACAAUGGGACUGCGAUACGGACCAGACUGCUACGGGAGGCAGCAGUGGGGAAUAUUGCACAAUGGGCGGAAGCCAGAUGCAGCAACGCCGCGUGCGGGAUGACGGCCUUCGGGUUGUAAACCGCUUUCGCCUGUGACGAAGCGUGAGUGACGGUAAUGGGUAAAGAAGCACCGGCUAACUACGUG